Molecule: long non-coding RNA, 202 nt
Filed under: Elaeis guineensis (African oil palm)
Lineage: Eukaryota; Viridiplantae; Streptophyta; Magnoliopsida; Arecales; Arecaceae
Description: long non-coding RNA (EGUI_LNC041661)
Source: RNAcentral
AGGCCCAAUAUACAAACAGCCUUAAAGCGAUCCGAUAGAGUACCACAUCAGUCGGACAGAUACUUAGGUUUCUUGAUCAAAUACGGAGAUCCUGUUGAGCUCGAUGAGAACAACGAACAUCCAGUCACCUAUAUGGAUGUAAUGUAGAGGUCCAACUCUGAGAAAUGGCUAGAAGCUGUAAAAUCUAAAAUGAAGUCCAUGA